GCUUGUCUCAAAGAUUAAGCCAUGCAUGUCUAAGUAUAAGCAAUUAUACGGCGAAACUGCGAAUGGCUCAUUAUAUAAGUUAUCGUUUAUUUGAUAGCACUUUACUACUUGGAUAACCGUGGUAAUUCUAGAGCUAAUACAUGCUAAAAAUCCCGACUUCGGAAGGGAUGUGUUUAUUAGAUUAAAAGCCAAUGCCCUCUGGGCUCUCUGGUGAAUCAUGAUAACCGCUCGAAUCGCAGGGCCUCGUGCCGGCGAUGGUUCAUUCAAAUUUCUUCCCUAUCAACUUUCGAUGUUUGGGUAUUGGCCAAACAUGGUUACAACGGGUAACGGAGGGUUAGGGCUCGACCCCGGAGAAGGAGCCUGAGAAACGGCUACUACAUCCAAGGAAGGCAGCAGGCGCGCAAAUUACCCAAUCCCGACACGGGGAGGUAGUGACAAUAAAUACUGAUACAGGGCUCUUUCGGGUCUUGUAAUUGGAAUGAGUACAAUUUAAAUCCCUUAACGAGGAACAAUUGGAGGGCAAGUCUGGUGCCAGCAGCCGCGGUAAUUCCAGCUCCAAUAGCGUAUAUUAAAGUUGUUGUGGUUAAAAAGCUCGUAGUUGACCUUGGGCCUGGCUGGCCGGUCCGCCUCACCGCGUGUACUGGUCCGGCCGGGCCUUUCCCUCUGUGGAACCCCAUGCCCUUCACUGGGCGUGGCGGGGAAACAGGACUUUUACUUUGAAAAAAUUAGAGUGCUCCAGGCAGGCCUAUGCUCGAAUACAUUAGCAUGGAAUAAUAGAAUAGGACGUGCGGUUCUAUUUUGUUGGUUUCUAGGACCGCCGUAAUGAUUAAUAGGGACAGUCGGGGGCAUCAGUAUUCAAUUGUCAGAGGUGAAAUUCUUGGAUCUAUUGAAGACUAACUACUGCGAAAGCAUUUGCCAAGGAUGUUUUCAUUAAUCAAGAACGAAAGUUAGGGGAUCGAAGACGAUCAGAUACCGUCGUAGUCCUGACCGUAAACUAUGCCGACUAGGGAUCGGACGAUGUUAUUUUUUGACUCGUUCGGCACCUUACGAGAAAUCAAAGUGCUUGGGCUCCAGGGGGAG
RNAcentral lists this ribosomal RNA (1080 nucleotides) under Cordyceps sp. EFCC 12075. RNAcentral's name for it is "SSU rRNA". It matches the Rfam family "Eukaryotic small subunit ribosomal RNA", at positions 30 to 1123 of the family's 1831-position model. The record is from RNAcentral. Lineage: Eukaryota; Fungi; Ascomycota; Sordariomycetes; Hypocreales; Cordycipitaceae.